This is a non-coding RNA of Cinara cedri, 306 nucleotides long. NCBI's taxonomy places the organism in Eukaryota, Metazoa, Arthropoda, Insecta, Hemiptera, Aphididae. The record is from the annotation of a GenBank genome assembly.
UCUUGGCCCUUUAUGUUCUAUUCAUAUAAAUUAUGCAAUUCAUGUAUCAACAAAAAUAACUUAAUUUUCGAACUACAAAUAUCAAAAACUCUUUUUUUUUUGAUGGGGGGAUGGAGAAGAUAUGUAAGCAUAGAUAAUAUACAUGGGUAUAACUACCUAUAAAUAAACUAGCUGUCCUGUACGAUUUUCUCUGUGUACAGUAAAGAACGAAAAAUCGUUAAAUAAAUUGAUAACGUGUUUUCCUGUGUUUCUCCGUGACUACAGUUUCUACAAUUUCGAAGGUUUUGCUCAAUAACUUAUUUUUUU